This is a long non-coding RNA of Acanthochromis polyacanthus (spiny chromis), 942 nucleotides long. RefSeq lists it as uncharacterized. The transcript is spliced from 3 exons. Lineage: Eukaryota; Metazoa; Chordata; Actinopteri; Pomacentridae. The record is from RefSeq and is a predicted model, not a curated record.
CUCACCUGGACAGGUAACACUGUUGGACCGAGUUCACUACGAUGGAAAUCCUGCUGCUCACGGCUCUCCUGGUGCUUUCUACUGGUGGAGUUCAGACCAGACCAGUCCACCUGAUCAUCUCUGUCCACCCCGGCCAGGAUGUCACUCUGACGGGUCCAGACUGCAGCGCCAACGCAUCAGUAACAGUGAUAAAAGCUGGUAAUGGCAGAUAUAUCUACUAUUACAUAGACGGACAUGUCAUAGUUCAAGACCACCAAGACCCAUCGUUUGUGGGCCGAGUGAAGAGGACGGAGGAUGAUAUCGUCUCUGUGACUCUGAUGAAUGUGACCAGAGAAGAUGCUGGAGAAUUGUAGAAACAGUGAUGGAACCAAGUUUGACUACAGAUACGACCUGAAGGUUACUGAUGGAGGUGCUGCAGGAGUCAUCGUUGGAGGAAUCGUUGCUGUUUUACUGAUCGUCAUGAUGAUAAUUCUUUGUUUGUGGGGCAGCAGGUUUAGAUGUAGAAUCCUCUGUAAACUCAAUGAUCAGCAGAACUCAGAGCUUACAGAGAAGUUCAACAACAGCAGGUCUGAAGUCUCACAGAUAUCUGUGUGUAAAUAUUAUGAGUUGAUCUGAACUAUUUCUGAGACCUUGUGGGGAUAUUUUGAGUGAUGUUGGAAUAAACGAGUUUAAUGUGACUUCCAGGGUUUGUCCAUGUAGAAUCUAUAAAGUGUUUACAGUAAAAUAUCAUUUCUACAGGAGCUGGUGUGAAAUGAUUUCAGCCUCACUGCUGUUUAAGUCACUGUGGACAGAUUUUGCUGACUUGAGUUAAUUACGUUAAUUUGAAAAAAUAUUGAGUCAUUUUGGACAAACUUUAGUAAUUUUUAACAACUUUUUUGUAAUAUUUCUGUCACUGAACUAUUUUUUAACCUCAUUUUAAAAUAAAUUUCCAGUCAUUGUGAA